UACGGGGGGAGCAAGCGUUGUUCGGAUUUACUGGGCGUAAAGGGCGCGUAGGCGGCCACUGCAAGUCGGUUGUGAAAUCUCCGGGCUUAACCCGGAAAGGUCAAUCGAUACUGCAGGGCUAGAGUGCAGAAGGGGCAACUGGAAUUCUCGGUGUAGCGGUGAAAUGCGUAGAUAUCGAGAGGAACACCUGCGGCGAAGGCGGGUUGCUGGGCUGACACUGACGCUGAAGCGCGAAAGCUAGGGGAGCAAACAGG
RNAcentral lists this ribosomal RNA (254 nucleotides) under uncultured bacterium. Its description in RNAcentral is "partial 16S ribosomal RNA". It matches the Rfam family "Bacterial small subunit ribosomal RNA", at positions 524 to 776 of the family's 1533-position model. The record is from RNAcentral.